This 87-nucleotide transfer RNA is filed under the name Hippoglossus stenolepis (Pacific halibut). RNAcentral's name for it is "tRNA-Arg". It matches the Rfam family "tRNA". From Rfam's summary of the family: Transfer RNA (tRNA) molecules are approximately 80 nucleotides in length. Lineage: Eukaryota; Metazoa; Chordata; Actinopteri; Pleuronectiformes; Pleuronectidae. The record is from RNAcentral.
GGCUCUGUGGCGCAAUGGAUAGCGCGUUGGACUUCUAGGUUGACCGAAGGCAUUCAAAGGUUGUGGGUUCGAGUCCCACCAGAGUCG